UCGAACGGAGCUGAGAGGAGCUUGCUUUACUUAGCUUAGUGGCGAACGGGUGAGUAACGCGUGAGUAACCUGCCCUGGAGUGGGGGACAACAGUUGGAAACGACUGCUAAUACCGCAUAAGCCCACGAUCCGGCAUCGGAUUGAGGGAAAAGGAUUUAUUCGCUUCAGGAUGGACUCGCGUCCAAUUAGCUAGUUGGUGAGGUAACGGCCCACCAAGGCGACGAUUGGUAGCCGGACUGAGAGGUUGAACGGCCACAUUGGGACUGAGACACGGCCCAGACUCCUACGGGAGGCAGCAGUGGGGGAUAUUGCACAAUGGGGGAAACCCUGAUGCAGCGACGCCGCGUGGAGGAAGAAGGUUUUCGGAUUGUAAACUCCUGUCGUUAGGGACGAUAAUGACGGUACCUAACAAGAAAGCACCGGCUAACUACGUGCCAGCAGCCGCGGUAAAACGUAGGGUGCAAGCGUUGUCCGGAAUUACUGGGUGUAAAGGGAGCGCAGGCGGACCGGCAAGUUGGAAGUGAAAACUAUGGGCUCAACCCAUAAAUUGCUUUCAAAACUGCUGGCCUUGAGUAGUGCAGAGGUAGGUGGAAUUCCCGGUGUAGCGGUGGGAUGCGUAGAUAUCGGGAGGACACCAGUGCGAAGGCGACUACUGGGCACCAACUGACGC
Molecule: ribosomal RNA, 670 nt
Filed under: uncultured Lachnospiraceae bacterium
Lineage: Bacteria; Bacillati; Bacillota; Clostridia; Lachnospirales; Lachnospiraceae
Description: bacterial SSU rRNA
Rfam family: Bacterial small subunit ribosomal RNA
Source: RNAcentral